Molecule: long non-coding RNA, 617 nt
Organism: Lagopus muta (rock ptarmigan)
Lineage: Eukaryota; Metazoa; Chordata; Aves; Galliformes; Phasianidae
Exons: 5
Source: RefSeq, a predicted model, not a curated record
CUCUUCUGGAGCUUUGCAGUGAGACUGGAAUGACUUGAACCUAUCAUUAAAUAAGAGUUCCUGAUAGAACCGCAAAUCCCAUGCGACAAUGGACCUCUCUUCAAGAGAAAGUACACAAGCAACUUUCUUCAUGAUACAUGCUUCUGUGCAGAACACUUCUCUUCAAGACUGAAGUCCACUUAGUAGUUCUUAUCACACAAGUCAUCACAGAGGAAGUUGUACAAUUUUUAAGAUCUUCAUUAGCCUUCUUUAAACUAUCUUCCAGAUGUCAGCAGAGGGGCACUAUGACCAAAUGGCAGCUGACGUGGAAGUGCACAUGAACCAGAGUUAUGCCACUGAAUUCCUCCAUGAAGAAAAAAUUGCACCAACUUCACCAAACAUUCAUCAGUGCUUGUUGAAUGUUUAUGGAGAUCAAACAGUGAAUGUGAGUGACGUGUGGAAAAUCAAACCCUAUAGCCUGUAAGGAUACAGAGAAGACUUACACUGUGAAAUUUGUUCCUCCGGUUAACUGAUCUUCUACUCAACAACUCUCCCAGACAUCCUUACCAUAAAGUUAUGCUCCAUAUUGCACCUUAAGAGACAAGGCAGUAGCCCUGUAAGUCUUCAUUUGAAUUCCA